CCAAUAGCGUAUAUUAAAGUUGUUGCAGUUAAAAAGCUCGUAGUUGAAUUUCGGGAUCAAUCUGUUGGUCGUGCCUUUGGUACGUACUAGCUUAUUGAUUUCUCCCUUCUGACGAACCAUGAUGUCAUUAAUUUGGUGUCAUGGGAAAUCAGGACUGUUACUUUGAAAAAAUUAGAGUGUUUAAAGCAGGCUCACGCUUGAAUACAUUAGCAUGGAAUAAUGAAAUAGGACGUUUUGAUUCUAUUUUGUUGGUUUCUAGGAUCGACGUAAUGAUUAAUAGGGAUAGUUGGGGGCAUUAGUAUUCAAUUGUCAGAGGUGAAAUUCUUGGAUUUAUUGAAGACUAACUACUGCGAAAGCAUUUGCCAAGGAUGUUUUCAUUAAUCAAGAACGAAAGUUAGGGGAUCGAAGACGAUCAGAUACCGUCGUAGUCUUAACCAUAAACUAUGCCGACUAGGGAUCGGAUGAUGUUAAUUUUAAUGACUCAUUCGGCGCCUUACGGGAAA
This 503-nucleotide ribosomal RNA is filed under the name uncultured Glomeromycotina. Its description in RNAcentral is "SSU rRNA". It matches the Rfam family "Eukaryotic small subunit ribosomal RNA", at positions 591 to 1097 of the family's 1831-position model. Lineage: Eukaryota; Fungi; Glomeromycota. The record is from RNAcentral.